RNAcentral lists this ribosomal RNA (859 nucleotides) under Bipolaris setariae. RNAcentral describes it as "partial large subunit ribosomal RNA". It matches the Rfam family "Eukaryotic large subunit ribosomal RNA", at positions 51 to 928 of the family's 3401-position model. The record is from RNAcentral. Lineage: Eukaryota; Fungi; Ascomycota; Dothideomycetes; Pleosporales; Pleosporaceae.
CGGAGGAAAAGAAACCAACAGGGAUUGCCCUAGUAACGGCGAGUGAAGCGGCAACAGCUCAAAUUUGAAAUCUGGCUCUUUCAGAGUCCGAGUUGUAAUUUGCAGAGGGCGCUUUGGCUUUGGCAGCGGUCCAAGUUCCUUGGAACAGGACGUCACAGAGGGUGAGAAUCCCGUACGUGGUCGCUAGCUAUUGCCGUGUAAAGCCCCUUCGACGAGUCGAGUUGUUUGGGAAUGCAGCUCUAAAUGGGAGGUAAAUUUCUUCUAAAGCUAAAUAUUGGCCAGAGACCGAUAGCGCACAAGUAGAGUGAUCGAAAGAUGAAAAGCACUUUGGAAAGAGAGUCAAACAGCACGUGAAAUUGUUGAAAGGGAAGCGCUUGCAGCCAGACUUGCUUGCAGUUGCUCAUCCGGGCUUUUGCCCGGUGCACUCUUCUGUAGGCAGGCCAGCAUCAGUUUGGGCGGUGGGAUAAAGGUCUCUGUCACGUACCUCUCUUCGGGGAGGCCUUAUAGGGGAGACGACAUACCACCAGCCUAGACUGAGGUCCGCGCAUCUGCUAGGAUGCUGGCGUAAUGGCUGUAAGCGGCCCGUCUUGAAACACGGACCAAGGAGUCUAACAUCUAUGCGAGUGUUUGGGUGUCAAGCCCGAGCGCGUAAUGAAAGUGAACGGAGGUGGGAACCCGCAAGGGUGCACCAUCGACCGAUCCUGAAGUUUACGGAAGGAUUUGAGUAAGAGCAUGGCUGUUGGGACCCGAAAGAUGGUGAACUAUGCUUGAAUAGGGUGAAGCCAGAGGAAACUCUGGUGGAGGCUCGCAGCGGUUCUGACGUGCAAAUCGAUCGUCAAAUUUGGGCAUAGGGGCGAAA